AGGGUUUUUAACCACCCUGCACUCCCCCUUCUCUUUUUCACAGAUGGUUCGCUCCUCACAAACGGCCAAGUUGAGUCUCUCAAUCCAGGGCUGCAUCUCUCUCUUCUCCGCCCUACGUCGUCAUUCUCAUCUCUUGCUCGGGGCUCGUCUCCUUUGUUUUACUGCUCUUCACCUGUCUGUGCUGUAAGAAGGGAGGAGUGGGAUUCAAUGAGUUUGACAAUGCAGAGGGGGAGGAGUGUUCUGGGGGUUCUAGCCCCGCCCAGGAGGACAGUCUGUCCUCUUGCCCCUCCCUCCCGGAGGUCUACACCCUCCCACUCAGGGACAGGGCUAACUGCCCCGCCCUGCAGGAUGGCUCAGGUAACUAAGGCAGACUCUCUGUAGCUGGAG
This 387-nucleotide long non-coding RNA is filed under the name Oncorhynchus mykiss (rainbow trout). RNAcentral's name for it is "lncRNA (ENSOMYG00000075661.1)". The record is from RNAcentral. Lineage: Eukaryota; Metazoa; Chordata; Actinopteri; Salmoniformes; Salmonidae.